UGGGGAAUUUUGGACAAUGGGCGAAAGCCUGAUCCAGCCAUGCCGCGUGAGUGAAGAAGGCCUUCGGGUUGUAAAGCUCUUUUAGUCGGAAAGAAAGAGUUGCAAUGAAUAAUUGUGAUUUAUGACGGUACCGACAGAAAAAGCACCGGCUAACUACGUGCCAGCAGCCGCGGUAAUACGUAGGGUGCGAGCGUUAACCGGAAUUACCGGGCGUAAAGGUUGCGCAGCAGGUCUUGCAAGUCAGAUGUGAAAGCCCCGGGCUUAACCUGGGAAUUGCGUUUGAAACUACAAGACUAGAGUGCAGCAGAGGGGAGUGGAAUUCCAUGUGUAGCAGUGAAAUGCGUAGAGAUGUGGAAGAACACCGAUGGCGAAGGCAGCUCCCUGGGUUGACACUGACGCUCAUGCACGAAAGCGUGGGGAGCAAACA
RNAcentral lists this ribosomal RNA (427 nucleotides) under uncultured beta proteobacterium. RNAcentral describes it as "bacterial SSU rRNA". It matches the Rfam family "Bacterial small subunit ribosomal RNA", at positions 355 to 774 of the family's 1533-position model. Lineage: Bacteria; Pseudomonadati; Pseudomonadota; Betaproteobacteria. The record is from RNAcentral.